Molecule: ribosomal RNA, 468 nt
Filed under: uncultured bacterium
Lineage: Bacteria
Description: partial 16S ribosomal RNA
Rfam family: Bacterial small subunit ribosomal RNA
Source: RNAcentral
GACGAACGCUGGCGGCGUGCUUAACACAUGCAAGUCGAACGGAAAGGCCCUGCUUUUGUGGGGUGCUCGAGUGGCGAACGGGUGAGUAACACGUGAGUAACCUGCCCUUGACUUUGGGAUAACUUCAGGAAACUGGGUCUAAUACCGGAUAGGAGCUCCUGCUGCAUGGUGGGGGUUGGAAAGUUUCGGCGGUUGGGGAUGGACUCGCGGCUUAUCAGCUUGUUGGUGGGGUAGUGGCUUACCAAGGCUUUGACGGGUAGCCGGCCUGAGAGGGUGACAGGCCACAUUGGGACUGAGAUGCGGCCCAGACUCCUACGGGAGGCAGCAGUGGGGAAUAUUGCACAAUGGGCGGAAGCAUGAUGCAGCAAAGCCGCGUGCGGGAUGACGGCCUUCGGGUUGUAAACCGCUUUCGCCUGUGACGAAGAGUGAGUGACGGUAAUGGGUAAAGAAGCACCGGCUAAAUACGUG